Molecule: ribosomal RNA, 2357 nt
Filed under: Klebsiella michiganensis
Lineage: Bacteria; Pseudomonadati; Pseudomonadota; Gammaproteobacteria; Enterobacterales; Enterobacteriaceae
Description: partial 23S ribosomal RNA
Rfam family: Bacterial large subunit ribosomal RNA
Source: RNAcentral
GGGUGACUGCGUACCUUUUGUAUAAUGGGUCAGCGACUUAUAUUCUGUAGCAAGGUUAACCGUAUAGGGGAGCCGCAGGGAAACCGAGUCUUAACUGGGCGUUAAGUUGCAGGGUAUAGACCCGAAACCCGGUGAUCUAGCCAUGGGCAGGUUGAAGGUUGGGUAACACUAACUGGAGGACCGAACCGACUAAUGUUGAAAAAUUAGCGGAUGACUUGUGGCUGGGGGUGAAAGGCCAAUCAAACCGGGAGAUAGCUGGUUCUCCCCGAAAGCUAUUUAGGUAGCGCCUCGUGAAUUCAUCUUCGGGGGUAGAGCACUGUUUCGGCUAGGGGGUCAUCCCGACUUACCAACCCGAUGCAAACUACGAAUACCGAAGAAUGUUAUCACGGGAGACACACGGCGGGUGCUAACGUCCGUCGUGAAGAGGGAAACAACCCAGACCGCCAGCUAAGGUCCCAAAGUCAUGGUUAAGUGGGAAACGAUGUGGGAAGGCCCAGACAGCCAGGAUGUUGGCUUAGAAGCAGCCAUCAUUUAAAGAAAGCGUAAUAGCUCACUGGUCGAGUCGGCCUGCGCGGAAGAUGUAACGGGGCUAAACCAUGCACCGAAGCUGCGGCAGCGACACUAUGUGUUGUUGGGUAGGGGAGCGUUCUGUAAGCCGUUGAAGGUGGCCUGUGAGGGUUGCUGGAGGUAUCAGAAGUGCGAAUGCUGACAUAAGUAACGAUAAUGCGGGUGAAAAACCCGCACGCCGGAAGACCAAGGGUUCCUGUCCAACGUUAAUCGGGGCAGGGUGAGUCGACCCCUAAGGCGAGGCCGAAAGGCGUAGUCGAUGGGAAACAGGUUAAUAUUCCUGUACUCGGUGUUACUGCGAAGGGGGGACGGAGAAGGCUAUGUUGGCCGGGCGACGGUUGUCCCGGUUUAAGCAUGUAGGCGGAUGUUCCAGGUAAAUCCGGAACGUUAUUAACGCUGAGGUGUGAUGACGAGGCACUACGGUGCUGAAGUGACAAAUGCCCUGCUUCCAGGAAAAGCCUCUAAGCAUCAGGUAACAUCAAAUCGUACCCCAAACCGACACAGGUGGUCAGGUAGAGAAUACCAAGGCGCUUGAGAGAACUCGGGUGAAGGAACUAGGCAAAAUGGUGCCGUAACUUCGGGAGAAGGCACGCUGAUGGUAGGUGAAGCGACUUGCUCGUGGAGCUGAAAUCAGUCGAAGAUACCAGCUGGCUGCAACUGUUUAUUAAAAACACAGCACUGUGCAAACACGAAAGUGGACGUAUACGGUGUGACGCCUGCCCGGUGCCGGAAGGUUAAUUGAUGGGGUUAUCCGUAAGGAGAAGCUCUUGAUCGAAGCCCCGGUAAACGGCGGCCGUAACUAUAACGGUCCUAAGGUAGCGAAAUUCCUUGUCGGGUAAGUUCCGACCUGCACGAAUGGCGUAAUGAUGGCCAGGCUGUCUCCACCCGAGACUCAGUGAAAUUGAACUCGCUGUGAAGAUGCAGUGUACCCGCGGCAAGACGGAAAGACCCCGUGAACCUUUACUAUAGCUUGACACUGAACACUGGUCCUUGAUGUGUAGGAUAGGUGGGAGGCUUUGAAGUGUGGACGCCAGUCUGCAUGGAGCCAUCCUUGAAAUACCACCCUUUAAUGGCUGGUGUUCUAACGUGGGCCCCUAAUCGGGGUUGCGGACAGUGUCUGGUGGGUAGUUUGACUGGGGCGGUCUCCUCCUAAAGAGUAACGGAGGAGCACGAAGGUCAGCUAAUCCUGGUCGGACAUCAGGAGGUUAGUGCAAUGGCAUAAGCUGGCUUGACUGCGAGCGUGACGGCGCGAGCAGGUGCGAAAGCAGGUCAUAGUGAUCCGGUGGUUCUGAAUGGAAGGGCCAUCGCUCAACGGAUAAAAGGUACUCCGGGGAUAACAGGCUGAUACCGCCCAAGAGUUCAUAUCGACGGCGGUGUUUGGCACCUCGAUGUCGGCUCAUCACAUCCUGGGGCUGAAGUAGGUCCCAAGGGUAUGGCUGUUCGCCAUUUAAAGUGGUACGCGAGCUGGGUUUAGAACGUCGUGAGACAGUUCGGUCCCUAUCUGCCGUGGGCGCUGGAGAAUUGAGGGGGGCUGCUCCUAGUACGAGAGGACCGGAGUGGACGCAUCACUGGUGUUCGGGUUGUCAUGCCAAUGGCAUUGCCCGGUAGCUAAAUGCGGAAGAGAUAAGUGCUGAAAGCAUCUAAGCACGAAACUUGCCCCGAGAUGAGUUCUCCCUGACUCCUUGAGAGUCCUGAAGGAACGUUGAAGACGACGACGUUGAUAGGCCGGGUGUGUAAGCGCAGCGAUGCGUUGAGCUAACCGGUACUAAUGAACCGUGAGGCUUAACCUU